RNAcentral lists this ribosomal RNA (484 nucleotides) under uncultured bacterium. RNAcentral describes it as "partial 16S ribosomal RNA". It matches the Rfam family "Bacterial small subunit ribosomal RNA", at positions 30 to 507 of the family's 1533-position model. The record is from RNAcentral.
AUUGAACGCUGGCGGCAGGCCUAACACAUGCAAGUCGAGCGGAUGAAGGGAGCUUGCUCCUGGAUUCAGCGGCGGACGGGUGAGUAAUGCCUAGGAAUCUGCCUGGUAGUGGGGGAUAACGUCCGGAAACGGGCGCCAAUACCGCAUACGUCCUGAGGGAGAAAGUGGGGGAUCUUCGGACCUCACGCUAUCAGAUGAGCCUAGGUCGGAUUAGCUAGUUGGUGGGGUAAAGGCCUACCAAGGCGACGAUCCGUAACUGGUCUGAGAGGAUGAUCAGUCACACUGGAACUGAGACACGGUCCAGACUCCUACGGGAGGCAGCAGUGGGGAUUAUUGGACAAUGGGCGAAAGCCUGAUCCAGCCAUGCCGCGUGUGUGAAGAAGGUCUUCGGAUUGUAAAGCACUUUAAGUUGGGAGGAAGGGCAGUAAGUUAAUACCUUGCUGUUUUGACGUUACCAACAGAAUAAGCACCGGCUAACUUCGUG